GCUGAGCUGCUUUGUGAGGGAGUAACAUCUCCAUGACAGCAAGGUGCAAGCGGAGAUAAGACAACCACCUGGGUCAGGAACUUGUAGAGAGGAUUCCUACAUGGAGUGGGAGACUGAAAUAAUAACCUCAAAGAUGCCUUCCAAUCAGAAGAUUUGGUGAUUCUUUCUGAGUUAUCAAACUGCCUUCCUUUGACCUUGCUCACAUGUAGAAAUCCAAGUCAGCGCAGCUUAACUUGGACUCACCACCUAUCAAGUGCUCGACAGCCACGUGUGCAGUGGUUCCUACGUGGAGCAGCAUACAUCCAGAGAUGCAAAUAUUAAUGAGGACAGUGCUAGUAACAGAGUUGCUGAGCAAUCUAUGUCCCCUUGUAAGAACCAGUGCCCCAGGGGAAGAAACAGAACUCCACAAGGUAGCAGUGUGGGUGUAGUACCCGCAUGUGCCCAUGUUAUGGGAAUGUAGAUGGGGAGUGACCACCGCCAACAGAAGUGUGGCCAUCUUGCCCGAGAUGCCUGAGGACCUCCUAUUUUUAGAUGCUGCUGCCCAAGGCCUGUAUUUCAUGCUAUGGCUUUUGUCAUUUGAAUUAUCAGUAGCUGUCUCGGAGCUAUUACGCUUCACUGGGCCCUGGAGGAUAUUGUCUUAUACAGUCCACUGGGUUUUGGAUAUGCAGUCUGUGCCUUUCAUUGCCUUCCUGGAAAAUAAUAACUAAACUCUUCCUCACCAGG
Molecule: long non-coding RNA, 723 nt
Filed under: Homo sapiens (human)
Lineage: Eukaryota; Metazoa; Chordata; Mammalia; Primates; Hominidae
Description: HSALNT0366232
Source: RNAcentral